GAUGAACGCUAGCUACAGGCUUAACACAUGCAAGUCGAGGGGCAGCACAGUGUAGCAAUACAUGGGUGGCGACCGGCGCACGGGUGCGUAACGCGUAUCCAACCUUCCCGUUACUCUUGGAUAGCCUUCCGAAAGGGAGAUUAAUACAGGAUGGUGUUUGAAUUCCGCAUGUUAUUCAAACUAAAGAUUUAUCGGUAACGGAUGGGGAUGCGUGACAUUAGAUAGUUGGCGGGGUAACGGCCCACCAAGUCUACGAUGUCUAGGGGUUCUGAGAGGAAGGUCCCCCACACUGGAACUGAGACACGGUCCAGACUCCUACGGGAGGCAGCAGUGAGGAAUAUUGGUCAAUGGCCGAGAGGCUGAACCAGCCAAGUAGCGUGAAGGAUGAAGGUUCUAUGGAUUGUAAACUUCUUUAUACGGGAAUAACAUCACCUACGUGUAGGUGCCUGCAUGUACCGUAUGAAUAAGCAUCGGCUAACUCCGUGCCAGCAGCCGACGG
RNAcentral lists this ribosomal RNA (499 nucleotides) under uncultured bacterium. RNAcentral describes it as "bacterial SSU rRNA". It matches the Rfam family "Bacterial small subunit ribosomal RNA", at positions 28 to 520 of the family's 1533-position model. The record is from RNAcentral.